This 2915-nucleotide ribosomal RNA is filed under the name Vibrio parahaemolyticus. Its description in RNAcentral is "bacterial LSU rRNA". It matches the Rfam family "Bacterial large subunit ribosomal RNA". The record is from RNAcentral. Lineage: Bacteria; Pseudomonadati; Pseudomonadota; Gammaproteobacteria; Vibrionales; Vibrionaceae.
GUUGUAUGGUUAAGUGACUAAGCGUACACGGUGGAUGCCUUGGCAGUCAGAGGCGAUGAAAGACGUAGUAACUUGCGAUAAGCCCAGAUUAGGUAGUAACAACCAUUUGAGUCUGGGAUUUCUGAAUGGGGAAACCCACGUGCAUAAGCACGUAUCCUUACCUGAAUACAUAGGGUAAGGAGGCGAACCGGGGGAACUGAAACAUCUAAGUACCCCGAGGAAAAGAAAUCAACCGAGAUUCCGAAAGUAGCGGCGAGCGAAAUUGGACUAGCCCUUAAGCUUUACACGCGUUAGACGAACGGUCUGGAAAGUCCGACGAUACAGGGUGAUAGUCCCGUAGUUGACGACGUGUGUUCAGUGAAAUCGAGUAGGGCGGGACACGUGAUAUCCUGUCUGAAUAUGGGGGGACCAUCCUCCAAGGCUAAAUACUACUGACUGACCGAUAGUGAACCAGUACCGUGAGGGAAAGGCGAAAAGAACCCCUGUGAGGGGAGUGAAAUAGAACCUGAAACCGUGUACGUACAAGCAGUAGGAGCAGGCUUGUCCUGUGACUGCGUACCUUUUGUAUAAUGGGUCAGCGACUUAUAUUCAGUGGCAAGGUUAACCAUCUAGGGGAGCCGUAGGGAAACCGAGUCUUAACUGGGCGUUCAGUCUCUGGAUAUAGACCCGAAACCAGGUGAUCUAGCCAUGGGCAGGUUGAAGGUUGAGUAACAUCAACUGGAGGACCGAACCGACUAAUGUUGAAAAAUUAGCGGAUGACUUGUGGCUAGGGGUGAAAGGCCAAUCAAACCUGGAGAUAGCUGGUUCUCCCCGAAAGCUAUUUAGGUAGCGCCUCGGACGAAUACUACUGGGGGUAGAGCACUGUUAAGGCUAGGGGGUCAUCCCGACUUACCAACCCUUUGCAAACUCCGAAUACCAGUAAGUACUAUCCGGGAGACACACGGCGGGUGCUAACGUCCGUCGUGGAGAGGGAAACAACCCAGACCGCCAGCUAAGGUCCCAAAUUACUACUAAGUGGGAAACGAUGUGGGAAGGCUCAGACAGCCAGGAUGUUGGCUUAGAAGCAGCCAUCAUUUAAAGAAAGCGUAAUAGCUCACUGGGCGAGUCGGCCUGCGCGGAAGAUGUAACGGGGCUAAGUAGUAAACCGAAGCUGCGGCAAUAUACUUUUGUAUAUUGGGUAGGGGAGCGUUCUGUAAGCGGUUGAAGGUGUGUGGUAACGCAUGCUGGACGUAUCAGAAGUGCGAAUGCUGACAUGAGUAACGAUAAAGGGGGUGAAAAACCUCCUCGCCGGAAGACCAAGGGUUCCUGUCCAACGUUAAUCGGGGCAGGGUAAGUCGACCCCUAAGGCGAGGCCGAAAGGCGUAGUCGAUGGGAAACGGGUUAAUAUUCCCGUACUUCUUACAAUUGCGAUGGGGGGACGGAGAAGGCUAGGUGGGCCUGGCGACGGUUGUCCAGGUUCAAGUGCGUAGGCUUAAGAGUUAGGUAAAUCCGGCUCUUUUUAAGGCUGAGACACGACGUCGAGCUACUACGGUAGUGAAGUCAUUGAUGCCAUGCUUCCAGGAAAAGCCUCUAAGCUUCAGAUUGUAAGGAAUCGUACCCCAAACCGACACAGGUGGUCGGGUAGAGAAUACCAAGGCGCUUGAGAGAACUCGGGUGAAGGAACUAGGCAAAAUGGUACCGUAACUUCGGGAGAAGGUACGCUCUCGACGGUGAAGUCCCUCGCGGAUGGAGCUAUUGAGAGUCGCAGAUACCAGGUGGCUGCAACUGUUUAUUAAAAACACAGCACUGUGCAAAAUCGUAAGAUGACGUAUACGGUGUGACGCCUGCCCGGUGCCGGAAGGUUAAUUGAUGGGGUUAGACUUCGGUCGAAGCUCUUGAUCGAAGCCCCGGUAAACGGCGGCCGUAACUAUAACGGUCCUAAGGUAGCGAAAUUCCUUGUCGGGUAAGUUCCGACCUGCACGAAUGGCGUAAUGAUGGCCACGCUGUCUCCACCCGAGACUCAGUGAAAUUGAAAUCGCUGUGAAGAUGCAGUGUACCCGCGGCUAGACGGAAAGACCCCGUGAACCUUUACUACAGCUUGGCACUGAACAUUGACCCUACAUGUGUAGGAUAGGUGGGAGGCUUUGAAGCACGUACGCCAGUAUGUGUGGAGCCGUCCUUGAAAUACCACCCUUGUAGUGUUGAUGUUCUAACGUCGACCCCUUAUCGGGGUUGCGGACAGUGCCUGGUGGGUAGUUUGACUGGGGCGGUCUCCUCCCAAAGAGUAACGGAGGAGCACGAAGGUGGGCUAAUCACGGUUGGACAUCGUGAGGUUAGUGCAAUGGCAUAAGCCCGCUUGACUGCGAGAAUGACAAUUCGAGCAGGUGCGAAAGCAGGUCAUAGUGAUCCGGUGGUUCUGAAUGGAAGGGCCAUCGCUCAACGGAUAAAAGGUACUCCGGGGAUAACAGGCUGAUACCGCCCAAGAGUUCAUAUCGACGGCGGUGUUUGGCACCUCGAUGUCGGCUCAUCACAUCCUGGGGCUGAAGUCGGUCCCAAGGGUAUGGCUGUUCGCCAUUUAAAGUGGUACGCGAGCUGGGUUUAGAACGUCGUGAGACAGUUCGGUCCCUAUCUGCCGUGGGCGUUGGAAGAUUGAAGGGGGCUGCUCCUAGUACGAGAGGACCGGAGUGGACGAACCUCUGGUGUUCGGGUUGUGUCGCCAGACGCAUUGCCCGGUAGCUAAGUUCGGAAUCGAUAACCGCUGAAAGCAUCUAAGCGGGAAGCGAGCCCUGAGAUGAGUCUUCCCUGAUACUUUAAGUAUCCUAAAGGGUUGUCGGAGACUACGACGUUGAUAGGUCAGGUGUGUAAGUGCUGUGAGGCAUUGAGCUAACUGAUACUAAUUGCCCGUGAGGCUUAACCAUACAACACCCAAGGGGUUU